RNAcentral lists this small RNA (21 nucleotides) under Brassica napus (rape). RNAcentral's name for it is "PsRNA_16". The record is from RNAcentral. Lineage: Eukaryota; Viridiplantae; Streptophyta; Magnoliopsida; Brassicales; Brassicaceae.
AAGCAAUCAAAGUACAAUUAC